UGGGGAAUUUUGGACAAUGGGCGAAAGCCUGAUCCAGCAAUGCCGCGUGUGUGAAGAGGGCCUUCGGGUUGUAAAGCACUUUUGUCCGGAAAGAAAUCCUCUGGGUUAAUACCUCGGGGGGAUGACGGUACCGGAAGAAUAAGCACCGGCUAACUACGUGCCAGCAGCCGCGGUAAUACGUAGGGUGCAAGCGUUAAUCGGAAUUACUGGGCGUAAAGCGUGCGCAGGCGGUUUUGUAAGACGGAUGUGAAAUCCCCGGGCUUAACCUGGGAACUGCAUUCGUGACUGCAAGGCUAGAGUAUGGCAGAGGGGGGUAGAAUUCCACGUGUAGCAGUGAAAUGCGUAGAGAUGUGGAGGAAUACCGAUGGCGAAGGCAGCCCCCUGGGCCAAUACUGACGCUCAUGCACGAAAGCGUGGGGAGCAAACAGGAUUAGAUACCCUGGUAGUCCACGCCCUAAACGAUGUCAACUAGUUGUUGGGGAUUCAUUUCCUUAGUAACGUAGCUAACGCGUGAAGUUGACCGCCU
RNAcentral lists this ribosomal RNA (526 nucleotides) under uncultured bacterium. Its description in RNAcentral is "partial 16S ribosomal RNA". It matches the Rfam family "Bacterial small subunit ribosomal RNA", at positions 355 to 874 of the family's 1533-position model. The record is from RNAcentral.